RNAcentral lists this ribosomal RNA (893 nucleotides) under uncultured bacterium. RNAcentral's name for it is "bacterial SSU rRNA". It matches the Rfam family "Bacterial small subunit ribosomal RNA", at positions 88 to 956 of the family's 1533-position model. The record is from RNAcentral.
UUGUAAAGUGGCGCACGGGUGAGUAACACGUGGGUAAUCUGCCCUUGAGUUCGGGAUAACCCCGCGAAAGCGGGGCUAAUACCGAAUAAGACCACGGAGACCAAAGUCUCUGAGGUAAAAGGUGGCCUCUAUUUAUAAGCUACCACUUGAGGAUGAGCCCGCGGCCCAUUAGCUAGUUGGCGGGGUAAUGGCCCACCAAGGCUAUGAUGGGUAGCUGGUCUGAGAGGACGAUCAGCCACACUGGAACUGAGACACGGUCCAGACUCCUACGGGAGGCAGCAGUGGGGAAUAUUGCGCAAUGGGCGAAAGCCUGACGCAGCAACGCCGCGUGGGGGAUGAAGGUUUUCGGAUUGUAAACCCCUUUCGAUCGGAACGAAUCUCCUCCUGGUAAAUAAUCAGGAGGAUCGACGGUACCGAGAGAAGAAGCCACGGCUAACUCUGUGCCAGCAGCCGCGGUAAGACAGAGGUGGCGAGCGUUGUUCGGAUUUAUUGGGCGUAAAGCGAACGCAGGUGGUUUGGUAAGUCAGGGGUGAAAUUCCGCAGCUUAACUGCGGCAUUGCCUUUGAUACUGCCUUUCUUGAGUGCAUGAGGGGGAAGCGGAAUUCCGAGUGUAGAGGUGAAAUUCGUAGAUAUUCGGAGGAACACCGGUGGCGAAGGCGGCUUCCUGGCAUGUAACUGACACUCAUGUUCGAAAGCGUGGGUAGCAAACAGGAUUAGAUACCCUGGUAGUCCACGCCCUAAACGAUGGGCACUAGGUGUGGGAGGUAUCGACCCCUUCCGUGCCGCAGCUAACGCAUUAAGUGCCCCGCCUGGGGAGUACGGCCGCAAGGUUGAAACUCAAAGGAAUUGACGGGGGCCCGCACAAGCGGUGGUGCAUGUGGUUUAAUUCGACG